GGUUCAAUGGUCUAGUGGUUAUGAUUUCUGUCUUACACACAGAAGGUCCUGAGUUCGACCCUCAGUUGAACCA
Molecule: transfer RNA, 73 nt
Organism: Pisolithus tinctorius Marx 270
Lineage: Eukaryota; Fungi; Basidiomycota; Agaricomycetes; Boletales; Pisolithaceae
Rfam family: tRNA
About the family: Transfer RNA (tRNA) molecules are approximately 80 nucleotides in length.
Source: Rfam